RNAcentral lists this ribosomal RNA (253 nucleotides) under uncultured Dehalobacterium sp. Its description in RNAcentral is "partial 16S ribosomal RNA". It matches the Rfam family "Bacterial small subunit ribosomal RNA", at positions 524 to 776 of the family's 1533-position model. Lineage: Bacteria; Bacillati; Bacillota; Clostridia; Eubacteriales; Peptococcaceae. The record is from RNAcentral.
UACGUAGGGAGCAAGCGUUGUCCGGAAUUACUGGGCGUAAAGGGCGCGUAGGUGGGCGCUUAAGUCAGGUGUGAAAACUCCGGGCUCAACCUGGAGACUGCACUUGAAACUGGGUGUCUUGAGGGCAGGAGAGGAAAGUGGAAUUCCUAGUGUAGCGGUGAAAUGCGUAGAUAUUAGGAGGAACACCAGUGGCGAAGGCGGCCUGCUGGGCUUUUACUGACGCUGAGGCUCGAAAGUGUGGGGAGCAAACAGG